UAGGGAAUCUUCCGCAAUGGACGCAAGUCUGACGGAGCAACGCCGCGUGAGUGAAGAAGGUUUUCGGAUCGUAAAGCUCUGUUGCCAGGGAAGAAAGGCCAAGGGAGUCACUACCCUUGGAUUGACGGUACCUGAGAAGAAAGCCCCGGCUAACUACGUGCCAGCAGCCGCGGUAAUACGUAGGGGGCAAGCGUUGUCCGGAAUUAUUGGGCGUAAAGCGCGCGCAGGCGGUCGUUUAAGUUUGGUGUAUAAGCCCGGGGCUCAACCCCGGUUGGCACCGGAAACUGGACGACUUGAGUGCAGAAGAGGAGAGUGGAAUUCCACGUGUAGCGGUGAAAUGCGUAGAGAUGUGGAGGAACACCAGUGGCGAAGGCGACUCUCUGGACUGUAACUGACGCUGAGGCGCGAAAGCGUGGGGAGCAAACA
This 426-nucleotide ribosomal RNA is filed under the name uncultured Paenibacillus sp. RNAcentral's name for it is "bacterial SSU rRNA". It matches the Rfam family "Bacterial small subunit ribosomal RNA", at positions 355 to 774 of the family's 1533-position model. The record is from RNAcentral. Lineage: Bacteria; Bacillati; Bacillota; Bacilli; Caryophanales; Paenibacillaceae.